RNAcentral lists this ribosomal RNA (413 nucleotides) under uncultured bacterium. RNAcentral describes it as "bacterial SSU rRNA". It matches the Rfam family "Bacterial small subunit ribosomal RNA", at positions 505 to 916 of the family's 1533-position model. The record is from RNAcentral.
GUGGCAGCCGCCGCGGUAAUACGGAGGGUGCGAGCGUUAAUCGGAAUUACUGGGCGUAAAGGGCGCGUAGGCGGUCGCGCAAGUCGGGUGUGAAAGCCCCGGGCUCAACCUGGGAAUUGCAUUCGAUACUGCGUAACUAGAGUCUGGUAGAGGGAAGCGGAAUUCCGCAUGUAGCGGUGAAAUGCGUAGAUAUGCGGAGGAACACCAGUGGCGAAGGCGGCUUCCUGGACCAAGACUGACGCUGAGGCGCGAAAGCGUGGGGAGCAAACAGGAUUAGAUACCCUGGUAGUCCACGCCCUAAACGAUGAGGACUAGACGUUGGGGGGAUAAAACCCUUUAGUGUCGCAGCUAACGCGUGAAGUCCUCCGCCUGGGGAGUACGGCCGCAAGGUUGAAACUCAAAUGAAUUGACGG